UACGUAGGGGGCAAGCGUUGUCCGGAUUCAUUGGGCGUAAAGAGCGUGUAGGCGGCCAGGUAGGUCGGUUGUGAAAACUGGAGGCUCAACCUUCAGAGGUCGACCGAAACCAUCUGGCUAGAGUCCGGGAGAGGAGAGUGGAAUUCCGGGUGUAGCGGUGGAAUGCGUAGAGAUCCGGAAGAACACCAGUGGCGAAGGCGGCCCGCUGGGCAGUGGCUGACGGCUGAGGCGCGACAGCGUGGGGAGCAAACAGGA
Molecule: ribosomal RNA, 255 nt
Filed under: uncultured bacterium
Lineage: Bacteria
Description: partial 16S ribosomal RNA
Rfam family: Bacterial small subunit ribosomal RNA
Source: RNAcentral